ACUUUUUUAAUAUAACAAUUAUAGAUGACUUCCAAUCAUCCAGCCUCAGUAAAACCUGAGAAAAAGUA
RNAcentral lists this transfer RNA (68 nucleotides) under Darevskia unisexualis. RNAcentral describes it as "tRNA-Gly". The record is from RNAcentral. Lineage: Eukaryota; Metazoa; Chordata; Lepidosauria; Squamata; Lacertidae.